This 250-nucleotide long non-coding RNA is filed under the name Nicotiana benthamiana. RNAcentral describes it as "long non-coding RNA (NBEN_LNC036066)". Lineage: Eukaryota; Viridiplantae; Streptophyta; Magnoliopsida; Solanales; Solanaceae. The record is from RNAcentral.
ACAAUCCAAAACACAAAUCAUCUAUGGAUAGCCCUGCCAAGCAUCACCCAACCCCGGGUGAGGAGUACGAAAAGCUCUAGGAGUCCCUAUCCUACAACCCUGAUGCUAGACCUCCAGACUUUCCUUAUCAAGGGUCAUGUCCUCGGAAACCGCAUUCUAGCCAUGUCGUAUCUAAUCACCUCUCCCCAAUACCUCUUAGGCCUCCCUCUGCCUCAUCGAACGCCGACAAUCGCCAGCCGCUCACAACUCC